CCUACGGGAGGCUGCAGUGGGGAAUAUUGGACAAUGGGGGCAACCCUGAUCCAGCCAUGCCGCGUGUGUGAAGAAGGCCCUCGGGUUGUAAAGCACUUUCAGUGAGGAAGAACGCCUGGUGGUUAAUACCCAUCAGGAAAGACAUCACUCACAGAAGAAGCACCGGCUAACUCCGUGCCAGCAGCCGCGGUAAUACGGAGGGUGCGAGCGUUAAUCGGAAUUACUGGGCGUAAAGCGCGCGUAGGUGGCUUGAUAAGCCGGUUGUGAAAGCCCCGGGCUCAACCUGGGAACGGCAUCCGGAACUGUCAAGCUAGAGUGCAGGAGAGGAAGGUAGAAUUCCCGGUGUAGCGGUGAAAUGCGUAGAGAUCGGGAGGAAUACCGGUGGCGAAGGCGGCCUUCUGGACUGACACUGACACUGAGGUGCGAAAGCGUGGGUAGCAAACAGGAUUAGAUACCCCUGUAGUC
Molecule: ribosomal RNA, 465 nt
Filed under: Vreelandella stevensii
Lineage: Bacteria; Pseudomonadati; Pseudomonadota; Gammaproteobacteria; Oceanospirillales; Halomonadaceae
Description: partial 16S ribosomal RNA
Rfam family: Bacterial small subunit ribosomal RNA
Source: RNAcentral